UAAGUAAAAAACAAAUGGAAACUAAAGAUUCUUAAAAACUUCUUUGAAAACUACAUUUUUUGUUUGCUUUUGUGGCUUACCUUCAUCAUCCACAAUCAGAAUCUUUAAUCUUGUCUUUGAUGUAACUCUGGAUAUGGCAACAUAAAGUUGGUUGUGUGAAAAGCAUGGCCU
RNAcentral lists this small RNA (171 nucleotides) under Arabidopsis thaliana (thale cress). RNAcentral describes it as "ATSL205270". The record is from RNAcentral. Lineage: Eukaryota; Viridiplantae; Streptophyta; Magnoliopsida; Brassicales; Brassicaceae.